GAGCUAGGUUCAACCAAGGAGGUUCAAUUUUAUCCUCUGCUAAUUUGACUUUUGCAUUUUGGUUAUUAUCAAUUCUAGGACUAGAAUUGGUGAUUUUCAUAGUAUUUGGUAGUUUUGGAUUUGAGAAUCCCAAAUUAAUCAUGAUUUAAAUGUGUGUGAUCUAUUUUGUUCCACAUUAACGAUUUUUGGAGCUAGAAUUAAAUUACUGUCUCAAAGAAUAUCUUUCAUUUCAACUUACAUUUCAGAAAUUUGGACUUUUCUUCUUCUUCUCCUCCUUCUUC
RNAcentral lists this unclassified non-coding RNA (281 nucleotides) under Hevea brasiliensis (rubber tree). Lineage: Eukaryota; Viridiplantae; Streptophyta; Magnoliopsida; Malpighiales; Euphorbiaceae. The record is from RNAcentral.